Molecule: ribosomal RNA, 253 nt
Filed under: uncultured bacterium
Lineage: Bacteria
Description: partial 16S ribosomal RNA
Rfam family: Bacterial small subunit ribosomal RNA
Source: RNAcentral
UACGUAGGGUGCGAGCGUUGUCCGGAAUUAUUGGGCGUAAAGGGCUCGUAGGCGGUCUAUUGCGUCAGGAGUGAAAACUCGGGGCUUAACCCCGAGCCUGCUUCUGAUACGGGCAGACUAGAGGUAUGCAGGGGAGAACGGAAUUCCUGGUGUAGCGGUGAAAUGCGCAGAUAUCAGGAGGAACACCGGUGGCGAAGGCGGUUCUCUGGGCAUUACCUGACGCUGAGGAGCGAAAGUGUGGGGAGCAAACAGG